Nyctereutes procyonoides (raccoon dog) is the source of this 7159-nucleotide RNA transcript. It is a transcript of the gene named deoxyguanosine kinase, with no coding region annotated. The record is from RefSeq and is a predicted model, not a curated record. The transcript is spliced from 9 exons. NCBI's taxonomy places the organism in Eukaryota, Metazoa, Chordata, Mammalia, Carnivora, Canidae.
AGGCCGUACCGCGGGCGGAAAUGUUCUCGGCGGAAGUGGUCGCUGCGCAAGUCGUGGGUGGAAUGACUGCGGGCCGGCUCCUCCGAAGGCUGUUGCGAACACCUUCCAGGUCCAUGGCACAGAGCGCAGUCGGUGGCGUGUGCCCCUCCAGGGGCUUGCACGCGGAGCUCGGGCCUCGAAGUCUCUCCAUCGAAGGAAACAUUGCUGUAGGAAAGUCCACCUUUGUGAAGUUACUCACGAAAACUUACCCAGAGUGGCACAUAGCUACAGAACCUGUAGCAACAUGGCAGAAAGUCCAGGCUCCUGGCACCCAAAAAGCCUUCACUGCCCAAAGUCUUGGAAACUUGCUAGAUAUGAUGUACCAGGAACCAGCACGAUGGUCCUACACAUUCCAGACAUUUUCUUUUAUGAGCCGCCUGAAAGUACAGCUGGAGCCCUUCCCUGAGAAACUGUUACAGGCAAGGAAGGCGGUACAGAUCUUUGAGAGGUCCGUGUACAGUGACAGGUAUAUCUUUGCGAAGAAUCUUUUUGAAAAUGGUUCCAUCAGUGACAUCGAAUGGCAUAUCUAUCAAGACUGGCAUUCUUUUCUCCUGCAGAAGUUUGCCAGCCAGCUCAGAUUACAUGGGUUCAUCUACCUCCAAGCUACUCCCCAGGUUUGUUUGAAGAGACUAUACCAGAGGGCCAGGGAAGAGGAGAAAGGAGUUGAGCUGACGUAUCUCGAGCAGCUUCACGAUCAACACGAAGCCUGGCUUGUUCACAAGACAACUGAGCUCCAUUUUGAGGCUCUGCUGAACAUUCCAGUGCUGGUAUUGGAUGUCAAUGAUGAUUUUUCUGAAGAAGUAACCAAACAAGAAGAACUCAUGAAAAAGGCACACAGUGAGAGAGAGAGAGGCAGAGACACAGGCAGAGGGAGAAGCAGGCUCCAUACACCGGGAGCCCGACGUGGGAUUCGAUCCGGGGUCUCCAGGAUCGCGCCCUGGGCCAAAGGCAGGCGCCAAACCGCUGCGCCACCCAGGGAUCCCUCAUCAUGGUCCUUAACUGCAAAUAGAAGGCAGUUACUAUGGACCUAAUGAAGCUCAGGCUUCAAGGUUGUCAUUUGCAAGGUUCCAGAGUGCCCGGCAUGGCUAUUGGGAGAAUGUGAUCCCCCUGUAACUCCUCCUGCCACAAGAAGUUCCUCACUGACCUGAGACUCUGUCACACACACACAGAGAGAGAGAGAGGCAGAGACAUAGGCAGAGGGAGAAGCAGGCUCCAUGCACCGGGAGCCCGACAUGGGAUUCGAUCCCGGGUCUCCAGGAUCGCGCCCUGGGCCAAAGGCAGGCGCCAAACUGCUGCACCACCCAGGGAUCCCGGUAUCUGACUUUUCAUCUUCACCGUGAGAGGCUGGCUCUGCCUCCCACCACAGUGGGAAAGUCCCCGAACAUGGGAAGAGGAUCCAUUCACUGGUUCCCCACAACUUGGCAGAUGUUCACUACAGGUGGGUUUUCUAGAGCCUGAGCUUAACACUGGGCACAGCGGGCCCAGGUGACACUUGUGAAAUCAGCUUAGUCUGGCUUGGAGGAUACUUAGUACAGACCACGCUCCUGCAUGUGAUUCAUUAGACCAGGAUCAAGGGGACUUCAUCUCCCGAGAACACUUGAAUGAAAACCCUUACAGUGGAAAGGGCCCAUGUGCAUGUCUUUGGGAACAGCAAUGGAAGAGAGUAGUACGGGGGAGGUGGCAGCCUCAUCUGAAGCUGAGGGUAUUCCCCAGGCAAGAGAACACCAUCGUGGGAGAAGGCCUGUGUUCUCUGCAUCCAUCGUGGCCCCAUCACCCCUCCCCCCACUGCAGCUAGAAAACUGGGGGCGUCUGACUCCUCCCUCUCACUCAUCCUCAAUAUCUGGGUGAUCAUUGGGAGCUAGCAAUUCCCCCUAAUGUUUCUCAGCUCUGUCUUAUCAGCAAGCACCCUCUUCAGGAAACUGGUCUAGAUGCCCUGCCUGUGUGCUCCUGUUGCAUGGAUCUUACGGUUUCCUCUGCCACUAUAGCAUUAAAAUGGUCCAUUUCCUUGUCUCUUUAUUAGAUCACAGAAUGCAUCCUAUCUGUCUUUGUAUCUUCAGGGCCUGGCACAUAGGAAUGCACAGCUCAAUCACUAUUAAACAAAAGGAAAGAAGGAAGAAGGGGAGAAGAGAAGUAGGCUGAGCUUGUGAAGAGUCCCUGAACUAAGCAAUGAAAUAUCCCCACAUUCCAAUCCCUUUAUGCUGCUAGCAACAUACUACAUCUCACCAGGUGCCAGACCAGCUCUCUGCCAGGCUCUGAGCAGCCUCUUCAGCAUGAAUGGUACAAGUCAAAGAGUUCUUUGAGUCUGCUCUCAGAUCCCCCCCGUCAGGUGAUCCUGGGGCCACUGGGGACCAUGCAGGGCCCCAUGAGGAGGAAAUUGCAGAAGACAGAAGAGGCCCCAGGCCCUACCUGGAUAAAAUUUCCCCAGAUUGCCCUCAGACUUCUACAGAAAAGAGAUACAAACCUAAGUCACUGUUAUUUGGGGUUUUAUCAUUGUAUAUAGCUGAACGGAUAAUGCAGUGGCUCUAAGCUUGCUGUGACAUUCUCUCUUGCCUUCUCUGGGGCCCUGCUCGCAGGGCAGGCAAGUGUCAGAAACCGUGCAACUAGAAACCUUGGAGAAUGUUACCUGGCUGGUAACCCCUCACAGGGGAUAGAUGGUUCCUGGGUCCCCACUCCAGCACAUGGGAAGGAUGAGGAAAGGGGGUGGAGAGAAGCUGUCUUACCCUGGGCAAGUUAUCAGGCCUCUCUACUCCUUAGGUCCCUUGCUGUGAAAACAAGAUGAUCUUCAAAACAUCUUAUAGCCUCAAGUUCAUAAUAUUUGCCUUAUGAAUGAAAAAGUAGCAUGGAAGAGAUGGAGGGCCUGGGCUUAGGUAUCACACCUGGGGUCCAGUCCCAGUUGGGCCACUGACUGGCUCUGCAACUCUGACAAGUUCCUGAACCUCUCUGAGCCUCAAUUUUAAGUCCAAAAGUGAAACUAUCUUUGAUCCCACUUCAUAGGGCUGUUCCAGGAUUAGAAAUACUGUAGACAAAUGUUUGGGCACAGAGUAGCCACUUGGUAAGUGGAGCUGGUAGGUCUGUGUGGGUGGAAAGUCCUUCAGAGAGUCUAGCUGAGCUGAGCCUUGGGCGGUGAGGUGAGGAACAUGAUGGGAGGCAGAAUGGUGAGGACAGACCCAGCAGCUAAGCAGUGUGGGCAAAGGAAGGAUUAUGUGUGGUGUGAAGAGUGGGUACAGUGUGGUCCCAAAUGGGGAGAGAUGACGUGUCCCUAAGCGUGAUGCAAGACAGACGGUAACAGGUGCUGCUUCCAGCUAAGGGAACUGUGGUGGGUCACAGAGCACAGGAGCUGGGCACUCCAAGGAGGAGGGUCUGUAGAACAGAAGCUGGGAUGACAAUGACUGUGGAGUUAACGCCAUGGACCAAGGCAAGGAGCUAGGAAUGUGUCCUGUGCAUCCUGGGGGUGGGGAGGGCAACUGUGGAUGCGGAAUGCUCAUGUACUUUAAGUAGAGUGCUCGGGCCCCUCUUCUCUGCAAGGCAACAACAGCACAGGCCAGCGAGCCAUUGCCGCACACACUGCCUCCUACCAGCCUCCCCUCAGCACCUCUGCGUGUCUGUGAGGCCAGAGCCAGGAUGCCUGGGUCAGGAACGAGCCUCUGAGGUCCUCCGAGAGGCCUGGCAGGGGUGCUGAUACAGGACUCCUGUUCAGAAGGUAAAGGGCUUGGAGAGCAAGCAAGCAGGCAUUCACUGCAGCUUCCUUCCCGCCUGGCGGCUGGCUGUGUGCCCUGAACUUGACCUCAGAUGACCCGUGUGUUCUCUUCCUGGAAACGGUUCCAUUGCCAGAAGCAGUUGAGCUUUGGCUUUGGCUUUCUUUCUCCUUCAGAGCAGCGACUUGCCUCAGCUGAGACUGGCUCUGCGGUGAAAGUCUUCCCACUACCUGAGCAAGACCUUGCUUUCCUCUCUGUCACCUGCCAGUGGGUGUCUUGAAAUCCUUGUAUGAAAAAGAUGAUGUCCCAGGCACUUGGCCUUUUCAAUUCUAAGGCUCUGGUUGGAACAAGUGGAUCCAGGGGGUCUGAAUCCAAGGCAAUGUGAUCCAUGUGUAUGAAGAAGGAGGCUGCAGGGUGAGGGCAGGGAGGUAAGCAGGAGUGAGAACCGGGUAGCCACUAGAAGGCUGAGAGAGGGCACCAGUUCAGGAUGGUUUAGAGUGGAGGUGGCAGGCCCUAGGGCUGCUUGAAUGUGUAGGGAAGGAUGUGUUUGGAGAACUGCUGUCUCCAGCUGAGGAGACUGAGACUCUCCUGCUCAGUGCCGAGUCUCAUCCUGGGCACCUGCACAUCAUUACCUCCAUUCUCUUAAGUAAUACAUAAUAUCCUCACUGAUUAUUGUAUAAAUUUUAAUUCUGGUUGUCAUGGCUACAUAUGGUUAAAAUACUGUAAGACCCUUUCUCCCUGAAGGGGAAAGAGGAACCAAGGGAUCGGAUGGAAUGGAAAGAGGGGACCUGGGGAUCCCUGGGUGGCUCAGCGGUUUAGCUCCUGCCUUCAGCCCAGGGCGUGAUCCUGGAGUCCCGGGAUCGAGUCCUGCAUCAGGCUCCCUGCAUGAAGCCUGCUUCUCCCUCUGCCUGUGUCUCUGCCUCUCUCUCUGUGCCUCUCAUGAAUAAAUAAAUAAAAUCUUUAUAGAAAAAAAAGGAAAGAGGGGACCAUUUGAGUCCCUACUACACACCAAUGUCCGAGAUAGAACAUUGCCAUAGCAAGGCUCAUUUGAUUCUCUGCAAAGGAAUCUGCAAAGGAGGUAGCCUAAGUAGCAUUUUGACAGAUGGGAAGGAGGCUGGGAGAGGGGAAUUACCUCGCCCACAGUCACAAACCAGUACGCAGAGGAGCUGGAAAUGGAGCCCAGGCACCCAGAGGGAGCAUCUCAAUUUUGGGGGAAAGGGAAGAGUGUGUGGGGGGAGGGGGAUGCACAAUGGCCAAGUGGAGUGAUGGGAUCUGGUAGGGGCUCUGAGGAUUGGUUUGCCUGCCCUACACAGUUCCUGCAAAUGGGGUUUGACCCUCACCCAUAAAGGAUAUGGGGAAGUGGAACCUCAAGAAUGAAAGGGGUUGAAAUCAAGUUCAGAUCUCAGAUGGGACAGCAAGCAAGCUCCUGCUGAGUAGAGAUGGAAUGUGAGCAGCAUAUGAAAACAAGGUCAUGGGACAAACAGGUUAAAGUUGAAGCCAUCUAGUAGGGACACUUGACUCUUUUUAGAAAGCCCUUGUACUGCUCUGGCUGAAUUCUUAAGAUUUGCAGCUCAGGAAUUUCAUGAUUUUUAUACUACACGUUAUUUUCUGUGCUUUCCUCUCCCCAAUUCUCCACUUUACGUUCACAUGUUCCUUUUAAUUUUGUUUUUUAAAAAAGAUUUUAUUUAUUAGAGAGAGAGAGAGAGAGCGCACACACAAGCAGGAGGAGGGGCAGAGGGAGAGGGAGAAGCAAGUUUCUCACAGAGCAGAGAGCCAAAAGUGGGGCUCAAUCCGAGGACCCCAGGAUCAUGACCUGAGCAGAAGACAGAUGCCCAAACCUACAGAGCUACAGGCACCCCUAUCAGUUAAGUUCCUUUUAGAAAGGCUGACUUUGUGGUGCCUUGGUGGCUCUGUGAGUUAAGCAUUCAACUCUUGAUUUCAGCUCAGAUCGUGAUCUCCAGGUUGUGAGAUUGAGCCCUGCACAGGGGCUUAACAUUCUCUCUCUCCCUCUCUCUCUACCCCUCUCCCUUUGCUUGACCUUUCUCUCUCUCUCUCUCUCUCUAACAACAACAACAAUGACAACAACAAAAGGCUGACCUUGUUGGAGGAUUUGAUGUUCAACUACUAGGUAAAUCAUAGGAUCGUGGUCCAGCCAGUUUCACCCCAGAACCUCAGGUCUCCAUAUAUGCUGCUUCUUGGGUCUUGUUGGGGAUGUCUCAUAUGCACCUUAAAUGGACAUGUCCUUGGUAACCUCAUUCAGCCACUUGAUCUUCCUCUGGUGCUACCAUCUACCCUGUUGUUCUUCCAGAAACCUCCUCCAUAUGCCCUCAUGUAAUUGAUCCCUACCCUGUUGAUAUGGCUCCCUAAAUCUCUCUCUAGUACUUCUCUCCCUCCCCUCCUCACAACUGUAAUGGAGACCACCAUCAUUUUUUUCUCACCUGGGUUCCUAUAACAGCCUUCCUGCUGGUUUCUCUGCCUUCAUGCUGAGACUCCAAUACAUUCCCGGUACCACAGCAAGCACUGAGCAAGAUGUGGUCUCUUUCUGCAGCAUAGUAAACAUGGCAGACCUAGACACUCUUAACAAUGUACUCUUAAGAAUGUGAUGGGCAGGUUCAGUCUUGAGAGACCAUCAAAGGCUUCCUGAGUUGUCACCUGAGUGUAGCCAGGAAGGAUGAGUGGGAGUGAAUGGCGAGAAGGCAGGAAAUGCUUCUGUCAUAGCUUUAGAACUUUCCUCUUAAGCAGACAGGCCCCUGGUGACACUUAUGCCCCGAGUCCUUUCCUCUGCUGGAUACUCAAUUUACAAAUUAAUUUCUACUGAGCUUGCCCCACUGCCACUCAUCUUUGCCAUCAUACUUCCCUCAGCUCAGAUUUCUUUUGCCUGGGUCUAAAUAUCUGAAUCUUCUCUAGUGGGAGAAACGACAACCCAAUAGAAUGGGAAUCUCAAAUACAUGUCCUCAGGAGGGAGAAGCACUCAUGAAAUGGGUGGAACUGAUUGCACUUAUGCCUCUGGUACCCACAUCCACCUCACCUGCUGACACUAUUCCCUAUGUGUUAUUAGCACUGUUAACCAAAUACGUUUCCUUCUCCAGGUUCAUGGGAGCAUUGCUCCUACUACACUUCCUUGCCACCUUGUGACUUGCUAGUGAAAUCAGAGUGGAAAUGACAUGAAUUAUUCCUAGGUCAAAACUUUGAGAAUUAGUGCUUGGUUUGCCUCAUCCUCAUUUCCUGCCUUCAGGGUUGAGGAGGCAACAUGUCCAGUUGGAGCUGCCUGUGUCACCAUGGACAACAGAGCUGCUGCUGACCCCCAAUGGACAUAUUUCACGAUUGAGAAAUAAACUUUUGGUCAAACCACUGAGACCUGGGGAUAGUUUGUUAUUACAGUGAAACCUAACUGAUCCUGUUAUAUCUGGUCAAAUCAAGGUGUG